GUGCUCACUUGGGUGGCACAGUGCUAAAAAUUGGAACCAUUUAGAGAUGAACAUGGCCCCUACACUUGUGUGAUAUGCAAAUUUGGGAAGUGUUUCAUAUUUUC
Molecule: small nuclear RNA, 104 nt
Organism: Sciurus vulgaris (Eurasian red squirrel)
Lineage: Eukaryota; Metazoa; Chordata; Mammalia; Rodentia; Sciuridae
Source: Ensembl